Non-coding RNA from Coffea arabica (coffee), 3597 nucleotides. Lineage: Eukaryota; Viridiplantae; Streptophyta; Magnoliopsida; Gentianales; Rubiaceae. The record is from RefSeq and is a predicted model, not a curated record.
CAUGCACUUCUCUAGUUGACUCUGAUUCUUCCCAUCAGAACAACAAUUCCUUCCUUAUUCAGAGAGAUAAACUUCUGUGUAAUUCAGAUAAAUUGUCAAUAGUCUUUAAUCUGUAAAACCAUAUGCAACCUCCUAGCUUCUCUCUGAUUUUCUUUGUACUUGUAGCACUGGGAACCAGUCAGUUUCUGUCAUGUGUAGCAAUGGACAACAUCACCUCUAUCAGUAGGUUGCAAGAUGAUGGCAGCACGCUCAUGUCUGCUGGGAAAAUCUUUGAACUUGGCUUCUUCAGUCCUGAUGGUAACGAUGUUGAAACAUAUCUAGGCAUAUGGUAUUACCUGCGGAAAACAGUUGUAUGGGUUGCCAACAGAGAUAAACCAAUACUACAUUCAUAUGGAUAUCUUUCCAUAGGUGAAGAUGGCAAUCUCAAGUUGCUGGAUGAGAUGGGAACUUCAUAUUUCAAUACUACGCUUGAAAGCUCUAGUCCUGUUAACAGGAUGCUGAAGCUGCUGGAUUCUGGGAAUUUGGUACUGAUUGAUGGGAGCUCAGGAAAUAUUCUGUGGCAAAGCUUUGCUGAGCCAACUGAUACUUUUCUUCCAGGCAUGAGCAUGGAUAAAGGUUUAAAGUUGGUUUCCUGGUGGGAUUCUGGCAAUCCUAAAACUGGGAACUUCACAUUUGAGCAAGAUCAAGAAAAUAGGCUGUACAGGAUAAUGGAAAGGUCAACUGUUGUGCACUGGGAAAGUGAUCAAUCAGGUUCAAUUGACCUGCCUUACUUUGUGGCUUUCCUCUUGUCAAAUUUUAGCCCUAGUCUCGACCGGGCUAAUUAUAAGCCUUCAAAUGCAUAUAAAACAAAUAUAUAUAAGUGGCUAAGAGAGCCAUUUACUUCUAACUAUUCGGCUGCUCUAGCUAAGUAUGCAAAUACUAGGUUGUUGAUGAAUUCCUCUGGAGAGAUACAGUUUUACAUUAAGGAAGAGGGUGUGCCUGAAUGGUUGUUGGUUUCGUCAGAGCCCCAAGAUGCUUGCAAAGUCCAUCUCCCUUGUGGCAAUUUUGGUAGCUGUAAUCUGAAAAAUGGGGGUCGUAGUUGUGAAUGUUUGCUAGGAUUCGAGCCCGUUCAUCCUGAUACCUGGAAUACUGGAGAUUUUAAAAGUGGUUGUAGGAGGACGUUGGAAAUCUGCAACCCGAACACCAAACCUCACACGUUCUUGAAUCUGAAGUUGAUGAAAGCCGGGAAACCGGACUUCUUAGCUGCUAGUGCUAACAGUGAAAAUUUGUGCAGACAGGGGUGUCUCAGCAAUUGUAAUUGCCUUGCAUACUAUUUCGGCGGGCCAAGUAUAACUGAUAAUCUUGAACAAGGUUGCUCCAUGUGGACUUCUGUGCUUACUGAUUUACAAGAGGAUAUUGAUCGUGGCCACAAUCUUUCCUUUCGUGUAGCAGUUUCUGCCAUAGAAACCACGAGUAGAGAUUGCCAGACUUGUGGUAAACACAUAAUACCAUAUCCAUUGAGCACUGGGCCCAACUGCGGCGAUCUUUCAUACCAUAGUUUCACCUGUAAUGACUCCAGAGGCCAACUUUUCUUCUUGAUGUUGAACAAUAGCUAUGAAGUGAUUAACAUCAAUAAGGAAGACAGGAGAUUUGUUAUCCAAGUUAAUCGCCAAAGGGCUGAGAAUUGUGAUGCCAGGUCAGGCAGAGUUCUGCAGUUCAGUCCAUCAAUGCCAUUUAAUGUUACUAAUUGGUGUUAUAAUGAACCACUUACCUCAAUUCAAAUGAUAGAGAUUACCUGGAAACCCCCUCCGGAACCAAUUUGCAAUUCAUUAAAAGAUUGUAGGGGUUGGCCAGAUUCAAAUUGUUCAACUGCAAUCGAUAAGCGGAAAAGGUGUCUUUGCAAUCCCAACUACAAAUGGAAUAACCUGAAGUGCAUUUCAGCAAUUGUGGCUGAUUCAAACCGGUCAGAACAGAAGCCGCAACUCUCUGUGAAUCGUAUUGCUGUGAUAAUUAGUGGCUUAGCCAUUGCUAUAGUUAUGCUCGCGUGCAGCUUAUGCUUUGUUGUUUACAGAAGGAGGAUCUUAGCAAAUAGAAAAGAAAGCAGAAAAAGCAUUGCAGGGAAUCCAGUCUUUUACUUGGAUGAUAGUGAAACACAAGCUGCAGAUUUGGUUGUCGGAGAUGAUAAAAUUGUUGAUGUCCCUUAUUUCAGUAUGGAAAGCAUAUUGGCUGCUACAGAUAACUUCUCAGACACAAAUAAACUGGGAAGCGGAGGAUUUGGUCCUGUUUACAAGGGAAUGUUCCCUGGAGAAACUGAAAUUGCAGUUAAAAGGUUGUCAAGCCACUCUGGACAAGGCCUGGAGGAAUUUCGAAAUGAAGUUGUGUUGAUUGCUAAACUUCAACAUCGGAACCUAGUUAGACUUUUGGGCUACUGCAUCCAGAGAUCUGAAAAAAUUCUUCUCUAUGAAUACAUGCCAAAUAAAAGCUUAGAUACCUUUAUAUUUGAUCAAAGCCGCUGCAUAUUAUUGAACUGGAACUUGAGAUUCAACAUCAUUCUGGGGAUUGCACGGGGACUUCUUUAUCUUCACCAGGAUUCAAGGUUAAGAAUAAUCCACAGAGAUUUGAAAACAGGCAACAUUCUGUUGGAUGAAGAGAUGAACCCCAAAAUUUCAGAUUUUGGCUUGGCAAGAAUCGUUCAAGGCUACGAGACAGAAGCAAAUACACAAAAAGUAGUUGGAACCUAUGGCUAUAUGUCUCCAGAGUAUGCGCUGGAAGGUUUAUUCUCAGUGAAAUCAGAUGUGUAUAGUUUUGGAGUAGUUUUACUUGAGAUCAUUGGUGGUAAGAGAAACACUACUGGAUUUUACCGAUCUGAAGAAGUCUUGAGUCUUCUAGGCUAUGCAUGGAGAUUGUGGCAAGAAAACAAAGCAAUGGAUUUAGUUGACAAGAAAUUAUUGGAAUCAUGCAAUGGAACUGAAGUCGUGAAGUGCAUAAACAUAGGUCUGUUGUGUGUACAGGAUGAUCCUAGUGAUCGUCCCACAAUGUCUAAUGUUCUUACUAUGCUCAGUAGUGAAACAACAACUCUUCCAAGUCCUAAUCAACCUACUUUUUUAGCGAGAAGACGCACUUCAAGUACAUCUUUGUCUAGUAAAGCAGAAACUAACUCCAUCAAUGAGAUAACUAUCUCAGCAGAAGAAGGCCGAUGAAGGCAUUGCUUGUAUAGUUUCAUUAUUGAGGGGAUGCAGACGUACCUGUCUUGAAGGCAUUCCACUGGCACUGCUAAUUUUGAUUCCUAUAGAAGAGCUCCAAGCUCUUCUGGUGAAUUUUGAAGACAGAUUUGAGACUUUGAAGGAAACAUACCACCAGUUUUCUUAGCAACGGUUGCAAAUAGACUCAUCUGGAGUGAAUAUGAUGGCAAGUGAUGAAAGAAACAGCAGAAUUUGAUCAACCAAGUUUGCUGAUCGCAUAAUGAAUCAAACUAUUGCUACACUCAGGGACAGAGUAAAUCUUAAGAAAGAUAAAAGGGAAUGGAUUAGUAUUGAAGAAUGUUUCAAUCAUCCAUCGGAUACUUUCCUUUCAGGAUUGAAAAUUGGCUGAAUAAUAAAACGGUUGAAGUUAAUCUUA